CACAGAUCAUGGAGGACUGUUUCAUCUGUUUGUGAUCUGCCGUCCUCUGUGAGCCUCAGGAUGGAUGUUUGCCAGCCGAUUCCAUGGUUACAAGCUCUAUAGCUGCAUCUAUGUGUUAGGAACAUGAAGACCAAUAAUGGAUGCACUGAGCUGAUUAUGAAUUUAGCCCUGAUCAAGACUUGUGUUGCUGUCAUGAUAUGAAAGAUUCCAGUAAUGAACGCACUUGAGUUGAUUCAAGCACGCUUCCAUGGUCAUGAGCUCUGUGGUUGCAUCUGUGUGUUAGGAGCAUGCAGACCAAUAGUGAUAAUCUCGAGGUGAUUUAUGCAUUCUUCCAUGGCCACCAGCCUUAUGGUUGCAUCUGUGCGUCACAGCUUAGAGAUCAAUAAUGGAUGCAACAAGCUGUUUGAACCAUUCUGUUGGGAUCAAGAUUGUUGUGUUGCCUCUGUUUGGAAAGAGACCAAGAAUGGAUACGCUCAGGUGAUUUAAGCAGUCUUCCAUGGCCACGAGCUCUGUGGUUGCCUCUGUAUAUUAAGAGCACAGAGAUUAAAAAUGGGUGCACUUGAGCCGAUUGAAACAUUCCUCCUUGCAUCUUUCUUCUGUGAUUGCAUCUAUUUGUUAGUGGCAUAGAGACCAAUAAUAGAUGGCUUGUGCUGAUGGAAGGAUUCCUCCCUGGUGACAUGCUGUGUCUGCCUCUUGAUUGGGAGCACGCAGACCUACAAUGAUGCACUUUUUAUGAUUUGAGAAUUCCUUCGUGGUCACGUGCUCUGUUUUUAUCAUGGUUGGGAGCCUGCAGAGCAAUAAGGGACAUGCCUUUGCUGGUUUGAGGAUUCCUCUGAGGUUGGGAGCUAAGUUUGCAUCAUGCUUAGAAAGGAGUGUGCAGACCUGUAAUGAUUGCACUUUGCUGAUUGAAGGAUUCCUUAAGUCCAUGUGCUCCACUUGCACCAUUUUUAGGAUGGAGCCUGGAGACCUAUAAUGAACAACUUGUGCUGUGUUAAGGAUUCCUCCAUGAUCACGCGCCCCAUUUGUUCACCAUGCUUGGGAAGGUGCAUGCAGACCAAUGUUAGUAAUAGUCAAAAUUCCUGUGUCGGUUUGUGUGGUUUGCUAAACAGGACUCAAUGUAUCAUGAAACAGUGUAUUAUAUAGUCAACGAUGGUCAACUAUGUCCCAGUGAUAUUUAUGAGAGGGAUCUGAAGUAUUUAUUGAUAAUGCAUAUAUGAAAAACGGAGAAGAAUUAAUGAAACAGAUAUAUCUGUGUUAGAAUGAUUCUGUAUAAAGAUAGGGAAUAUCAAGUCUGUUCUUAGUGUUUUGUGAAUCACAGAGUGUAAAAUUAUUCCCAGUGAAUUAAUGAAUAAAUUUAAAGAUAACAUAGAAAUGAAUGCAGAAAAAGAGGGUCAACCCUGGAUCGAUGAUGAGCACUGGUGGAGUAUGAGUCACAUACGAUGAAUACGUGUCUGGAACUCUGAGGUCCAUCGCAGAAGUCAGUUUCCUCUGUUUCAAGUAACUCUGUAGAUAGAUGACAAGAAUAGAGAAUGAAUUUCUUUGUUUAUGAGUUUUUAUUUUAUAAUUGGUUCAAUGAAAGAAUAAAACAUAUAUGAAUAAAUAAAUGAGUUAUGCAUUGUCCAAUUAUAAAAA
RNAcentral lists this long non-coding RNA (1632 nucleotides) under Pan troglodytes (chimpanzee). RNAcentral describes it as "lincRNA". The stretch from base 1399 to 1470 matches the Rfam family "Small nucleolar RNA SNORD113/SNORD114 family". The record is from RNAcentral. Lineage: Eukaryota; Metazoa; Chordata; Mammalia; Primates; Hominidae.